CCCGCCUGUCCCAGCGCCUCGGGCCCAGGCGGCCGCCCAGAGCCCCGCCGCCGCCCAGGGCGCUCCAGGUGCCCUCCGCGUCCCCGGAAAUAGGAGGCCUGGUCAGGGCACGGGGCCGGCCACAGAAUCCCCUCUGUGCCCAGUUCCCUCUCUGUUCAUGGGCCUGAGGACGCUGGUGCCAGAUGGCCAGAGAGCCUUCCAGGAUGAAAAUCUGUCACUCCCAUGUUCAAGACCCUCCCGUGGCCCCCCAGCUCUUCACCGUGGCUCCCAGAGCAAGGUAAUCCUGAGGGGCAAACUGUGGCCUGAAGACCAGCAGCGUUGCUAUGCCUUGGAGCGCAGAAUCUCAGCGCCUCCCAGCCCUGCAGGGUGACUCGGAAUCUGCAGUCUAAAAGAUGCCCAGGUCAGACUCAUGGGAGAGAGACUGGGAAGGUUGCUGAACUCUGGGGCCUGGGGGACAGCAGACGUGGUGCACAGCUGCGAUCCCAGCAGCUCAGAGGCUGAGGCAGAAGGAUCACAAGUUCAAGGCCAGUCUCAGCGACUUAAAGAAAACCUGCCUCAAAAGAAAAAAAAUAAUAAAAAGGGCUGGGAAUGGGGCUCAGUGGUAAAAUGCUCCGGGGUUCAACUCCCAGGAUCACAA
Molecule: long non-coding RNA, 637 nt
Organism: Marmota monax (woodchuck)
Lineage: Eukaryota; Metazoa; Chordata; Mammalia; Rodentia; Sciuridae
Exons: 3
Source: RefSeq, a predicted model, not a curated record